UGGCAGUCAGAGGCGAUGAAGGGCGUGCUAAUCUGCGAUAAGCGCCGGUAAGGUGAUAUGAACCGUUAUAACCGGCGAUACCCGAAUGGGGAAACCCAGUGUGAUUCGUCACACUAUCAUUAACUGAAUCCAUAGGUUAAUGAGGCGAACCGGGGGAACUGAAACAUCUAAGUACCCCGAGGAAAAGAAAUCAACCGAGAUUCCCCCAGUAGCGGCGAGCGAACGGGGAGGAGCCCAGAGCCUGAAUCAGCAUGUGUGUUAGUGGAAGCGUCUGGAAAGGCGCGCGAUACAGGGUGACAGCCCCGUACACAAAAGCGCAUGUGCUGUGAGCUCGAUGAGUAGGGCGGGACACGUGGUAUCCUGUCUGAAUAUGGGGGGACCAUCCUCCAAGGCUAAAUACUCCUGACUGACCGAUAGUGAACCAGUACCGUGAGGGAAAGGCGAAAAGAACCCCGGCGAGGGGAGUGAAAAAGAACCUGAAACCGUGUACGUACAAGCAGUGGGAGCACCCUUCGGGGUGUGACUGCGUACCUUUUGUAUAAUGGGUCAGCGACUUAUAUUCUGUAGCAAGGUUAACCGUAUAGGGGAGCCGGAGGGAAACCGAGUCUUAACCGGGCGUUAAGUUGCAGGGUAUAGACCCGAAACCCGGUGAUCUAGCCAUGGGCAGGUUGAAGGUUGGGUAACACUAACUGGAGGACCGAACCGACUAAUGUUGAAAAAUUAGCGGAUGACCUGUGGCUGGGGGUGAAAGGCCAAUCAAACCGGGAGAUAGCUGGUUCUCCCCGAAAGCUAUUUAGGUAGCGCCUCGUGAAUUCAUCUCCGGGGGUAGAGCACUGUUUCGGCUAGGGGGCCAUCCCGGCUUACCAACCCGAUGCAAACUGCGAAUACCGGAGAAUGUUAUCACGGGAGACACACGGCGGGUGCUAACGUCCGUCGUGAAGAGGGAAACAACCCAGACCGCCAGCUAAGGUCCCAAAGUCAUGGUUAAGUGGGAAACGAUGUGGGAAGGCCCAGACAGCCAGGAUGUUGGCUUAGAAGCAGCCAUCAUUUAAAGAAAGCGUAAUAGCUCACUGGUCGAGUCGGCCUGCGCGGAAGAUGUAACGGGGCUAAACCAUGCACCGAAGCUGCGGCAGCGAACGUAUCACCCAAGACAACUUUACGGAGUUGACGAUUGACGGAGCGAAGCGACGUCAAAGCGUUCAUUAAAGUCGAGUUGGCUUAGGGAUACGUUCGUUGGGUAGGGGAGCGUUCUGUAAGCCUGUGAAGGUGUGUCGUGAGGCAUGCUGGAGGUAUCAGAAGUGCGAAUGCUGACAUAAGUAACGAUAAAGCGGGUGAAAAGCCCGCUCGCCGGAAGACCAAGGGUUCCUGUCCAACGUUAAUCGGGGCAGGGUGAGUCGACCCCUAAGGCGAGGCCGAAAGGCGUAGUCGAUGGGAAACGGGUUAAUAUUCCCGUACUUGGUGUUACUGCGAAGGGGGGACGGAGAAGGCUAUGUUGGCCGGGCGACGGUUGUCCCGGUUUAAGCGUGUAGGUGUGUGUUCCAGGUAAAUCCGGUUCACUUUAACACUGAGGCGUGACGACGAGGCACUACGGUGCUGAAGCAACAAAUGCCCUGCUUCCAGGAAAAGCCUCUAAGCAUCAGGUAACACGAAAUCGUACCCCAAACCGACACAGGUGGUCAGGUAGAGAAUACCAAGGCGCUUGAGAGAACUCGGGUGAAGGAACUAGGCAAAAUGGUGCCGUAACUUCGGGAGAAGGCACGCUGACACGUAGGUGAAGUGAUUUACUCAUGGAGCUGAAGUCAGUCGAAGAUACCAGCUGGCUGCAACUGUUUAUUAAAAACACAGCACUGUGCAAACACGAAAGUGGACGUAUACGGUGUGACGCCUGCCCGGUGCCGGAAGGUUAAUUGAUGGGGUCAGCGCAAGCGAAGCUCCUGAUCGAAGCCCCGGUAAACGGCGGCCGUAACUAUAACGGUCCUAAGGUAGCGAAAUUCCUUGUCGGGUAAGUUCCGACCUGCACGAAUGGCGUAAUGAUGGCCAGGCUGUCUCCACCCGAGACUCAGUGAAAUUGAACUCGCUGUGAAGAUGCAGUGUACCCGCGGCAAGACGGAAAGACCCCGUGAACCUUUACUAUAGCUUGACACUGAACAUUGAGCCUUGAUGUGUAGGAUAGGUGGGAGGCUUUGAAGUGUGGACGCCAGUCUGCAUGGAGCCGACCUUGAAAUACCACCCUUUAAUGUUUGAUGUUCUAACGUGGACCCGUAAUCCGGGUUGCGGACAGUGUCUGGUGGGUAGUUUGACUGGGGCGGUCUCCUCCUAAAGAGUAACGGAGGAGCACGAAGGUUGGCUAAUCCUGGUCGGACAUCAGGAGGUUAGUGCAAUGGCAUAAGCCAGCUUGACUGCGAGCGUGACGGCGCGAGCAGGUGCGAAAGCAGGUCAUAGUGAUCCGGUGGUUCUGAAUGGAAGGGCCAUCGCUCAACGGAUAAAAGGUACUCCGGGGAUAACAGGCUGAUACCGCCCAAGAGUUCAUAUCGACGGCGGUGUUUGGCACCUCGAUGUCGGCUCAUCACAUCCUGGGGCUGAAGUAGGUCCCAAGGGUAUGGCUGUUCGCCAUUUAAAGUGGUACGCGAGCUGGGUUUAGAACGUCGUGAGACAGUUCGGUCCCUAUCUGCCGUGGGCGCUGGAGAACUGAGGGGGGCUGCUCCUAGUACGAGAGGACCGGAGUGGACGCAUCACUGGUGUUCGGGUUGUCAUGCCAAUGGCACUGCCCGGUAGCUAAAUGCGGAAGAGAUAAGUGCUGAAAGCAUCUAAGCACGAAACUUGCCCCGAGAUGAGUUCUCCCUGAGACUUAGAGUCUCCUGAAGGAACGUUGAAGACGACGACGUUGAUAGGCCGGGUGUGUAAGCGCAGCGAUGCGUUGAGCUAACCGGUACUAAUGAACCGUGAGGCUUAACCUU
Molecule: ribosomal RNA, 2957 nt
Filed under: Salmonella enterica subsp. enterica serovar Typhimurium str. DT104
Lineage: Bacteria; Pseudomonadati; Pseudomonadota; Gammaproteobacteria; Enterobacterales; Enterobacteriaceae
Description: bacterial LSU rRNA
Rfam family: Bacterial large subunit ribosomal RNA
Source: RNAcentral